This 253-nucleotide ribosomal RNA is filed under the name uncultured bacterium. RNAcentral describes it as "partial 16S ribosomal RNA". It matches the Rfam family "Bacterial small subunit ribosomal RNA", at positions 524 to 776 of the family's 1533-position model. The record is from RNAcentral.
UACGUAGGCAGCGAGCGUUGUUCGGAGUUACUGGGCGUAAAGGGCGCGUAGGCGGCCUGUUAAGUCGAACGUGAAAUCCCCGGGCUCAACCCGGGAACUGCGUCCGAUACUGGCAGGCUUGAAUCCGGGAGAGGGAUGUGGAAUUCCAGGUGUAGCGGUGAAAUGCGUAGAUAUCUGGAGGAACACCGGUGGCGAAGGCGGCAUCCUGGACCGGUAUUGACGCCGAGGCGCGAAAGCCAGGGGAGCAAACGGG